AGAUCUUAUAUUUAAGAACGGAUGAAGUAUAUGUCUAUAUCCUUUGUGGGUCAGAAGAGGGUGCUAGUGAUUUGUACAUAUGUCUGAUAUAGCUAGUCUAGACUAGCGACCUCAACCUCAGUACCAGACGCACCGCAAAAAAAAAAGGAUCGCCGCACGAUCGCCCAGCCUAGGGCGACUCGGGUGUGACCAGCAAUCCACGCACCAGCGUUGAUGUUUUCCAUCCUCUCACUGCGCCACCGCUGGAGGAUGCCUCCGGGUGAAACUGGUGAGGCCAAUGGUGCCGGCGAGGCGCUCUCCCGCGUCAGCUUUAGGGCAUCUGGUUGGGAGGUGCGCUGAUCUUUGCCCUGCUCUAGUCUUCUCACCGCAUCGUUUGUGCCGUCGUUGGAGGAUGCCUCCGGGGUGAAACCGAUGAGGCCAAUGGUGGCGGCGGGGCGCUCUCCGGCGUUGGUUUUAGGGCAUCUGGUUGGGAGGUGCGCGGAUCUUUCCCCUUCUCUAGUCCUCUCAACGUGCCGCCGUUGGAGGAUGCCUUCGGGUGAAACCAGUGAGGCCAAUGGUGGCGGCCGGGCGCUCUUCCGCGUCGGCUUUAGGGCAUCUGGUUGGGAGGUGCGUUGGUGCACGCUAGGGCUUGGAAUGCCGGCGACCGGGGGUAGACCUCGCGUCCUCACAUGGGUGUGGCAGCGGCUAUCGGUGUCAUGGCCAUUUGGGGCUGCAUCGGGGGAGGUUGUUAUGCGUGGCAAUGCCUAGAUCCACCCCAGAUCGAGGGCGACCCUCCUAUUCUUCAUGCUCCAUAACAUUGAUUUUUGAUUUGGGCCCUGCUAUUCUUGAUGCUUCAUAACUUCGAUUUGCUUCAUAGCGGCCUCUUUGAUCUGGACACUGACGAAUUUCGGUCUUUCUUCUAGAGAUCCCAGCUUUUGGCGCAUGGCGUUAUUGGAUAUCUAGAUCAGAAUUGAUCUGGUCGGUCGCGUCCUCAUCUUCAGCCAAAGACUUCAUGAAGGCAUGACGGGAAGCUUCGAUGUCUUGCCGGUGUCAUGGGACAUGUUUAAGUAUAGUUUUUUAUUGUAUUGACGGUGGUGAAGAAAGUAACCGCAAAUGGAGACUUGUAACAACGGAGAAGAGUUUUGGUUGUGUUGAAGACUUGCGACAUAGGGUUUUUUCUGUGUGUCGGGUGUUGAGGACUUGCAGCGGCCUUGGCAGGCAUAGGUAGGCAACAUUUUUGGGGGUGCUCGAGUGUCGGGUGUUGAGGACUUGCAGCGGCCUUGGCAGGCAUAGGUAGGCAACAUUUUUGGGGGUGCUUCUCGAGUGUCAAGCGCGAUCUUAAGGGUGAAAGCCUAAGGUCCGUCCUUUAUUGGCACAAUGGUCUUGUGAAGACAUUGUUUUUGGAUCUGGGACCUCCCUCCAAGAUGAAAACUCAAGAUUCUUGAUCUGACGACAACAACACUUUUGCAUUAUUUUCUUUUUGAAGACGUCGUUUUUGGAGAACCUCCUGUGUAUUUCG
Molecule: long non-coding RNA, 1498 nt
Filed under: Hordeum vulgare
Lineage: Eukaryota; Viridiplantae; Streptophyta; Magnoliopsida; Poales; Poaceae
Description: long non-coding RNA (HVUL_LNC007028)
Source: RNAcentral